Molecule: long non-coding RNA, 995 nt
Filed under: Homo sapiens (human)
Lineage: Eukaryota; Metazoa; Chordata; Mammalia; Primates; Hominidae
Description: non-protein coding lnc-VSIG4-3:1
Source: RNAcentral
AUGGGGAACACGCUGACUUGUUGCGUGUCCCUCAAUGCCAGCCCCAAGCUGGGCCGGCGCGCCGGAUCCCCGCGUCCGACAUCUACGAGGCGGCGUCCGGGGACGAGGUGGCGGUAGCGCCUGCUGCUGCGGAGCCUCCCGAGUUUGAUUUCGGAGAAGGCGAGGGCCACCACCUGCAGCACAUCAGCGACCGCGAGAUGCCCAAAGAUUUAGCAUUGGAGUCAAACCCUUCUGACCAUCCAAGGGCAAGCACAAUUUUCCUGCGCAAAUCUCAAACGGAUGUGAGAGAAAAGAGGAAGAGCAACCAUUUAAACCAUGUAUCUCCAGGGCAGCUUACUAAAAAGUAUAGCUCAUGCUCAACAAUAUUUCUAUAUGACAGCACAGUCAACCAGCCUAACCUUAGAACCACAGUAAAAUGUGUGACCUUAGCAAUAUAUCACCACAUAAAGAACAGAGAUGCAAAUAGAUCCCUGGAUAUUUUUGAUGAGAGAUCACAUCCACUUACACGAGAAAAAGUUCCAGAAGAAUAGUUUAAGCAUGAUCCUGAGCACAAAUUUAUUUACAGAUUUGUUCAUACUCCUUUUAGUGCUGCACAGCUAACAGCUGAAUGUGCAAUAGUAACUUUGGUUUACUUAGAAAAGCUUUUAACUUAUGCUGAAACCAACAUUUGUCCCACUAACUGGAAAAGGAUUGGUCUGCGAGCCAUUCUUGCCUCCAAGGUUUGGAACCAUCAGGCUGUAUGGAAUAUGGACUACUGCCAGAUCUUCAAGGACAUUACAGGUGAGGACAUGAAUGAAAUGGAAAGGCAUUUUUUGAUGCUUCUUCAGUUUAAUCUUAAUGUUCCUGCCAGUGUUUAUGCCAAAUACUACUUUGAUCUUCGCUCCUUAGCAGAUGACAAUAACCUGAAUUUUCUAUUUGCUCCUCUUAGCAAAAAAAGAGCACAGAACCUAGAGGCUAUUUCUAGAUUGUGUGAAGACAAAGACUUGUGGAGAGCC